UAAUUGAAGAGGAGUUGCAGAGACGACUCAUCAUCAUACGAGCCUUAGUUACACAGACGACUAAGAAACUAAAAUAGCAGCAACGGUAGAGAGAGAUUAGCUCUCUAAAAGCUUUUGGCAUAGAGAGAAGCGAGAGGAAUGGAUUUGCAGGCAGUGAAGCAAUCGCUCGAGAGCACGGGUGAGAGCCUCUCAGCCUCGGUUGAUUCAUUGCCUGGUCGCUUCUUUGACUCCUUCAUACUUCAUGGUCUCAAAAUUGAUACCAUAGAGCCUGGGCGCGUCAUCUGUUCAUUCAAAGUGCCCCAACGCUUAGUGAACACAGGUAAUUUCUUGCAUGGAGGGGCCACGGCAUCUCUGGUCGACAUUGUUGGAUCAGCGGCAUUGAUGGCUGCGGGUGCUUUAACCUCUGGUGUUUCUGUUGAAAUCAACAUUUCUUAUUUGGAUGCUGCUUUUCUUGGGGAAGGGGUUGAGAUUGAAGCCAAUGUUUUGCGAAUGGGUAAGGCGAUUGGGGUCGUGAAUGUUGACUUGAGGAAGAAGAAGACAGAUGUGGAAAGACAAAGUUAUGUAUCCAUCUAGCUCUUUUUCUACACGAUCUUCUACUCUUUCUAUGGGUGUUCUAGGACUUGAACCUGAGAUUUUGCGUUGUUACCACUAUUGCCCAAUCUGCAGUUUGGAUGGUAUUUACAUGGUUUGCAGAACACCUUAUGAAGAAUAUGUAAAAGCUUAAAAGCUCUUCAGUGAAGAGAAGGAUGCAUCGUUUUUCUUCCUUUUUGUUGAUCUGCUUCUUUUCCCUUUCUUCUAUGCACCAUCUAUAAUGAAGGCCAUAUAUAUAUAGUAUGGAGGUCUUGUACUUGUUGUUUUAUGGUAUGACUCUAAAAUAUUGCGGUGUAGAGUAAA
RNA transcript from Amborella trichopoda, 894 nucleotides. It is a transcript of the gene named Thioesterase superfamily protein, with no coding region annotated. NCBI's taxonomy places the organism in Eukaryota, Viridiplantae, Streptophyta, Magnoliopsida, Amborellales, Amborellaceae. The record is from RefSeq and is a predicted model, not a curated record.